GAGNANUGCCUGGGAACAUGCCUUAGUGUGGGGGAUAACCAUUGGAAACGAUGGCUAAUACCGCAUAACGUCUACGGACCAAAGAGGGGGAUCUUCGGACCUCUCGCGCUAAGAUUGGCCCAGGUGGGAUUAGCUAGUAGGUGGGGUAAAGGCUCACCUAGGCGACGAUCCCUAGCUGGUCUGAGAGGAUGAUCAGCCACACUGGAACUGAGACACGGUCCAGACUCCUACGGGAGGCAGCAGUGGGGAAUAUUGCACAAUGGGGGAAACCCUGAUGCAGCCAUGCCGCGUGUGUGAAGAAGGCCUUCGGGUUGUAAAGCACUUUCAGUUGUGAGGAAGGUUCAUGCGUUAAUAGCGUAUGGAUUUGACGUUAGCAACAGAAGAAGCACCGGCUAACUCCGUGCCAGCAGCCGCGGUAAUACGGAGGGUGCGAGCGUUAAUCGGAAUUACUGGGCGUAAAGCGCAUGCAGGCGGCUUGUUAAGCCAGAUGUGAAAGCCCGGGGCUUAACCUCGGAAUAGCAUUUGGAACUGGCAGGCUAGAGUCUUGUAGAGGGGGGUAGAAUUUCAGGUGUANCGGUGAANUGCGUAGAGAUCUGANGGAAUACCGGUGGCGAAGGCGGCCCNCCUGGACANAGACUGACGCUCAGAUGCGAAAGCGU
Molecule: ribosomal RNA, 659 nt
Filed under: Photobacterium sp. HR06-66
Lineage: Bacteria; Pseudomonadati; Pseudomonadota; Gammaproteobacteria; Vibrionales; Vibrionaceae
Description: bacterial SSU rRNA
Rfam family: Bacterial small subunit ribosomal RNA
Source: RNAcentral